Molecule: long non-coding RNA, 366 nt
Organism: Physeter macrocephalus (sperm whale)
Lineage: Eukaryota; Metazoa; Chordata; Mammalia; Artiodactyla; Physeteridae
Exons: 3
Source: RefSeq, a predicted model, not a curated record
GGGGAGGCCCGGGCGUCCUCACCUGCAUCCCGGGCACUUGGACCGCCACCGAUGAAUGGAUAAAGAAGAUGUGGUACAUAUAUAUUAUACAAUGGAAUACUACUCAGCCAUGAAAAAGAAUGAAAUAAUGCCAUUUUCAGCAACAUGGAUUCAACUGGAGAUUAUCGUACUAAGUGAAAUGCAUAUAUUAUCAUUAGAAUUUGACCAAGAAUAAAGGAAAUGUGUGAGUAUCCAUUUAUCCAAUGCUGAGUGAAGAGACAAUGACAAAAACCUCCACCUACAGUAUAACCAGGAUACAACUGAAGAAAAUAAAUAAUGAUGUGUUCAUCUGUGGUUGAAAGUUUGUGUGUUUCAAGCACUGUGUGA